This 233-nucleotide ribosomal RNA is filed under the name uncultured bacterium. RNAcentral describes it as "partial 16S ribosomal RNA". It matches the Rfam family "Bacterial small subunit ribosomal RNA", at positions 1260 to 1500 of the family's 1533-position model. The record is from RNAcentral.
ACCGGAUGCGGAUCUCGAAAGCCUGUCCCAGUUCGGACUGGAGUCUGCAACCCGACUCCACGAAGUUGGAUUCGCUAGUAAUCGCGCAUCAGCCAUGGCGCGGUGAAUACGUUCCCGGGCCUUGUACACACCGCCCGUCAAGCCAUGGGAGCCGGGGGGCGCCUGAAGUCCGGGACCGCGAGGACCGGCCUAGGGCGAAACUGGUAACUGGGGCUAAGUCGUAACAAGGUACC